This 440-nucleotide ribosomal RNA is filed under the name uncultured bacterium. RNAcentral's name for it is "partial 16S ribosomal RNA". It matches the Rfam family "Bacterial small subunit ribosomal RNA", at positions 338 to 795 of the family's 1533-position model. The record is from RNAcentral.
CCUACGGGAGGCAGCAGUGGGGGAUCUUGCACAAUGGGCGAAAGCCUGACGGAGCGACGCCGCGUGAGUGAAGAAGUUCUUCGGAUCGUAAAGCUCUAUUAGCAGGGAAGAACAUGCGAGUACGUGACUAUGCACCUCUGGACAAUCACGUGUCAGAAGCCGCGGGAUUACUAAGGGGGAACGAGUUAUCCGGAUUUACUGGGUGAAAAGGGAGCGUAGACGGUUUUGUAAGUCUGGCGUGAAAGCACUGGGCCCAAUCUCGGGGGGUCGUUGGAAACUGUGUAACUGGAGUGCAGAAGAGGAAGGCGGAAUUCCUGGUGUAGCGGUGAAAUGCGUAGAUAUAAGGAGGAACACCAGCGGCGAAGGCGGCCUGCUGGUCUGAAACUGACGUUGAGGCGCGAAAGCGUGGGGAGCAAACAGGAUUAGAUACCCGAGUAGUC